CAUUGGUGCUCUUGUUUAUGCCGUUGUGUGAACUCGGUCAGGACUGGAAAGAAGCAGCCGUAGCUAAAUUGGUAUAUGCCGGGAUUUUACUAGUGAAG
Molecule: signal recognition particle RNA, 98 nt
Filed under: Blochmannia endosymbiont of Camponotus (Colobopsis) obliquus
Lineage: Bacteria; Pseudomonadati; Pseudomonadota; Gammaproteobacteria; Enterobacterales; Enterobacteriaceae
Description: Bacterial small signal recognition particle RNA
Rfam family: Bacterial small signal recognition particle RNA
About the family: The signal recognition particle (SRP) is a universally conserved ribonucleoprotein involved in the co-translational targeting of proteins to membranes. Archaeal SRP consists of a 7S RNA and homologues of the eukaryotic SRP19 and SRP54 proteins. In most bacteria, the SRP consists of a 4.5S RNA and the Ffh protein (a homologue of the eukaryotic SRP54 protein).
Source: Rfam by way of RNAcentral